This 562-nucleotide ribosomal RNA is filed under the name uncultured bacterium. Its description in RNAcentral is "partial 16S ribosomal RNA". It matches the Rfam family "Bacterial small subunit ribosomal RNA", at positions 355 to 1376 of the family's 1533-position model. The record is from RNAcentral.
UGGGGAAUCUUAGACAAUGGGGGAAACCCUGAUCUAGCCAUGCCGCGUGAGCGAUGAAGGCCUUAGGGUUGUAAAGCUCUUUCAGCUGGGAAGAUAAUGACGGUACCAGCAGAAGAAGCCCCGGCUAACUCCGUGCCAGCAGCCGCGGUAAUACGGAGGGGGCUAGCGUUGUUCGGAAUUACUGGGCGUAAAGCGCACGUAGGCGGAUUAGUCAGUCAGAGGUGAAAUCCCAGGGCUCAACCCUGGAACUGCCUUUGAUACUGCUAGUCUUGAGGUCGAGAGAGGUGAGUGGAAUUCCGAGUGUAGAGGUGAAAUUCGUAGAUAUUCGGAGGAACACCAGUGGCGAAGGCGGCUCACUGGCUCGAUACUGACGCUGAGGUGCGAAAGCGUGGGGAGCAAAACAGGAUUAGAUACCCUGGUAGUCCACGCCGUAAACGAUGAAUGCCAGUCGUCGGGUUGCAUGCAAUUCGGUGACACACCUAACGGAUUAAGCAUUCCGCCUGGGGAGUACGGUCGCAAGAUUAAAACUUAAAGGAAUUGACGGGGUCAUAGCUGUUUCCUG